UGGCUUUACACGAACUGACUGAAGAGGUAUAAAUGUCUGAGGAGGAAGCCUUUGCUCUUUCAAAUACUUAAUGCACUCUUUUCCUGUAUUUUCGUCUUCAACCACUACUGCAUCCAUGAAUUUACCCAUAGCUACAGUAACAGCAAGAUUGUACUUCUUCUGGGUUGGCCUGCAGAGGUCAGUCAUCCGACCAUGAACUCCUUGAAAUAGGCGCUUGAGAGUCUCAACUGCCUGAGACAACCUAGCAUCUCUCUCAUUCUCAUGUCUAUCCGCUUUCACUUCACGUAGUUGGAUUUCUACUUCACCAAUUCUAGACUUCAGAUUCUCAUAUUUAUUCCUAGAAUCUCGAUGUUUAUCU
This 358-nucleotide unclassified non-coding RNA is filed under the name Hevea brasiliensis (rubber tree). Lineage: Eukaryota; Viridiplantae; Streptophyta; Magnoliopsida; Malpighiales; Euphorbiaceae. The record is from RNAcentral.